GACGAACGCUGGCGGCGUGGAUUAGGCAUGCAAGUCGGACGGUAGGGCUUUAUCGUAAGAUAGAGUUUGAGAGUGGCGAACGGGUGAGUAACACGUAGGAAUCUACCCUUAAGACGGGGACAACCCAGGGAAACUUGGGCUAAUACCGGAUGAGAGUGCGAGAGAUUGCAUUUAAAAGGAUGGCGAAAGUUGUCGCUUAGGGAUGAGCCUGCGGUCUAUUAGUUAGUUGGUGAGGUAAGAGCUCACCAAAGGCGAUGAUAGAUAGGCGGCCUUAACGGGUGGUCGCCCACACUGGGAUUGAGAUACGGCCCAGACUCCUACGGGAGGCAGCAGUGGGAAUUUGGACAAUGGGCGCAAGCCUGAUCCAGCAAUGCCGCGUGCAGGAUGAAGGCCUUCGGGUUGUAAACUGUCUUUUGUACGGUAACGAAAAGGCUACUGGUUAAUACCUGGGGCUCAUGACGGUACCGUAAGAAUAAGCACCGGCUAACUACGUGCCAGCAGCCGCGGUAAUAGUA
Molecule: ribosomal RNA, 515 nt
Filed under: uncultured bacterium
Lineage: Bacteria
Description: bacterial SSU rRNA
Rfam family: Bacterial small subunit ribosomal RNA
Source: RNAcentral